AGAAUACUCCCUCCGUUCGAAAUUACUUGUCACAUAAAUAGAUAAAAAUAGAUGUAUCUAGAAGCAAAUACAUCUAGAUACAUUCAUUUCUUCGACAAGCAUUUCUGGAUGGAGGAGUAUAAG
This 123-nucleotide microRNA precursor is filed under the name Hordeum vulgare. Its description in RNAcentral is "microRNA MIR1122". It matches the Rfam family "MIR1120/MIR1122 microRNA precursor family". Lineage: Eukaryota; Viridiplantae; Streptophyta; Magnoliopsida; Poales; Poaceae. The record is from RNAcentral.